GCCUGGAUAGCUCAGUUGGUUAGAGCGUGGUGCUAAUGAUGCCAAGGUUGGCAGCUUUGAUCCCCAUAUGGGGUA
RNAcentral lists this transfer RNA (75 nucleotides) under Podarcis lilfordi (Lilford's wall lizard). RNAcentral describes it as "tRNA.Ile". Lineage: Eukaryota; Metazoa; Chordata; Lepidosauria; Squamata; Lacertidae. The record is from RNAcentral.